GUUACCAUCCUCGGUGCGAGUACACCUGAUCAAACACAUGGGCCGAUAAGCGGGACACUUGAUGAGCCUACACUGAUAACAACGCCUUCCUGGAUCCAACACACUUGAGCAUUACACACUUCAGACUACGCGUUUGAUUGUGCACAGACCGAAAUGUAACAUUAGUUAAUAGUGUUAAGUGUACAUUGAACAUGUGUGGCUAUAUCUGUUAUUCGAACAUAGGUCCUUGGUAUUGCUAGCUAGACAGUACGGCUUUUUUCACGAACAAAGAGAUGCGGGUGACUCGGCGCCAAGGGAAGCAAACUUUUAGACUAAACGACCUGGAUAGAAAUUGAGUGCUUCGUAAUGCAAGCUUUGAACGUGUGUGAAAAGUUAAAAACGACCACUGGGAUUGGAAAAACUUUACUUAGAAAUGCUUUUCAACUUCACCUUAGAUGUGGACGAAGGUGUAAAAACGUGCUAGCAUAAUAAGUAUUAGUUUGUGUUGUGUCAUGGAAAAUAUAAAAAACUCGCGAGUGUGUAUUUGUAAACAUGUAAAAUGACUAUUGACAAACGCAUCCAUAUGGGAUAGUAUCGUCGAAAAAAAAGCUCACCGGGGGAAUUCCGUGGUGAGGUAUUUCGUGGGUGAGCCGAAAAGGGCACCAUCCCCCAGUGCAUGGGGCGCCGUUGCCCCUGGCAACGUGCUCUAUCUUUGUAUCAAUGAAUACGGCGAGCUCAUAGAACGCAAUCUCAUAAUAGAAAAUAGACUUGAAUAGACAAUGUAUAAUUGUGUUGCUGUUGACAUUAUUUGAAUGAUUUGGGGCUCGAGUGAGAUUUAUAGUCAGCUGCAUCUAAAAUUAAAGAAUUAUUAUUUUGAAGGAACAAAUUAUAAAGGAUAUGAGAUGCGGUGUAUAAUCGUCUUAUUUAUUCAAGUGUUUAGUUUAAUGACACAUUAAGUCAGAAUUUUAUGUCUAAGUUUAUUUAAGACAUCGUUAAACAUGAAAGGCAUUAUUUUGAAAAAGCAUCUGAAUAUAUUAUGCGUGAGGAGUAUUUUAUGUUUCAUACAUGGCUUCAUUUUAACGUGGUUGAUGAGCCUCAUUACGAAUUUAGUAUAUUCGAUAAUUGUCUUUCUUUAAGUACAUGAGCUGUAGAGACAAUCGUCUUAAUAUAAUUUUUUCAGUGUUAA
Molecule: long non-coding RNA, 1165 nt
Organism: Helicoverpa zea (corn earworm)
Lineage: Eukaryota; Metazoa; Arthropoda; Insecta; Lepidoptera; Noctuidae
Exons: 2
Source: RefSeq, a predicted model, not a curated record